RNAcentral lists this ribosomal RNA (465 nucleotides) under Vreelandella stevensii. Its description in RNAcentral is "partial 16S ribosomal RNA". It matches the Rfam family "Bacterial small subunit ribosomal RNA", at positions 338 to 795 of the family's 1533-position model. The record is from RNAcentral. Lineage: Bacteria; Pseudomonadati; Pseudomonadota; Gammaproteobacteria; Oceanospirillales; Halomonadaceae.
CCUACGGGAGGCAGCAGUGGGGAAUAUUGGACAAUGGGGGCAACCCUGAUCCAGCCAUGCCGCGUGUGUGAAGAAGGCCCUCGGGUUGUAAAGCACUUUCAGUGAGGAAGAACGCCUGGUGGUUAAUACCCAUCAGGAAAGACAUCACUCACAGAAGAAGCACCGGCUAACUCCGUGCCAGCAGCCGCGGUAAUACGGAGGGUGCGAGCGUUAAUCGGAAUUACUGGGCGUAAAGCGCGCGUAGGUGGCUUGAUAAGCCGGUUGUGAAAGCCCCGGGCUCAACCUGGGAACGGCAUCCGGAACUGUCAAGCUAGAGUGCAGGAGACGAAGGUAGAAUUCCCGGUGUAGCGGUGAAAUGCGUAGAGAUCGGGAGGAAUACCAGUGGCGAAGGCGGCCUUCUGGACUGACACUGACACUGAGGUGCGAAAGCGUGGGUAGCAAACAGGAUUAGAUACCCUGGUAGUC